AACGAACGCUGGCGGCAGGCCUAACACAUGCAAGUCGAACGCCGUAGCAAUACGGAGUGGCAGACGGGUGAGUAACACGUGGGAACGUACCCUUCGGUUCGGGAUAACUCAGGGAAACUUGAGCUAAUACCGGAUACGUCCGAGAGGAGAAAGAUUUAUUGCCGAGGGAUCGGCCCGCGUCUGAUUAGCUUGUUGGUGAGGUAACGGCUCACCAAGGCGACGAUCAGUAGCUGGUCGAGAGGAUGAUCAGCCACAUUGGGACUGAGACACGGCCCAAACUCCUACGGGAGGCAGCAGUGGGGAAUAUUGGACAAUGGGCGCAAGCCUGAUCCAGCCAUGCCGCGUGAGUGAUGAA
Molecule: ribosomal RNA, 355 nt
Filed under: uncultured bacterium
Lineage: Bacteria
Description: bacterial SSU rRNA
Rfam family: Bacterial small subunit ribosomal RNA
Source: RNAcentral